This 253-nucleotide ribosomal RNA is filed under the name uncultured bacterium. Its description in RNAcentral is "partial 16S ribosomal RNA". It matches the Rfam family "Bacterial small subunit ribosomal RNA", at positions 524 to 776 of the family's 1533-position model. The record is from RNAcentral.
UACGUAGGGGGCAAGCGUUGUCCGGAUUUAUUGGGCGUAAAGCGCUCGCAGGUGGUUCGUUGCGUCGUGCGUGAAAGACCCCGGCUCAACUGGGGAGGGUCGUGCGAUACGGGCGAACUGGAGGCCAGUAGGGGGAUGCGGAAUUCCGGGUGUAGUGGUGGAAUGCGUAGAGAUCCGGAGGAACACCAGCGGCGAAGGCGGCAUCCUGGACUGGUCCUGACACUCAGGAGCGAAAGCGUGGGGAGCGAGCCGG